GCCCGGGUAGUUUAAAGGUAAAACCUUAAUUUCAUACGUUAAAGAUGAGAAUUCC
Molecule: transfer RNA, 55 nt
Filed under: Pseudoechria curvicolla
Lineage: Eukaryota; Fungi; Ascomycota; Sordariomycetes; Sordariales; Schizotheciaceae
Description: Podospora curvicolla partial transfer RNA-Met(cau)
Source: RNAcentral